AUGGAGCCCGCGCCACUCUCCUCGCUGCAGGAGGAAGGGGAACCCGACGAACCGUCCUCCUCCUCUGCCUUCUCCGCCGCCGCCGUGCCGCCUCGCCCCGCCACGCACCACUCGCUCCACAAGUACGCGCCCAUGGACUGGUCGGCCUACUUCGACGAGGAGCGCCCCGUCGCCAUCCCGAACACCGAGGACGUUUUCAAUGUGUACAUGGCCGGAUCGGAAGGGCCCGUCGUGUUCUGUCUGCACGGAGGCGGCUACUCUGGGCUUUCAUUUGCGCUAGCAGCUAAUCAGAUAAAGGGAAAGGCUCGUGUUGUUGCCAUGGAUUUACGGGGACAUGGGAAAUCUUCCACAAGUGAUGAUUUGGAUCUGUCCAUUGAAACUCUUACCAAUGAUGUAAUAGCUGUUAUACGUACAUUGUAUGGAGAUCCGCCACCAGCAAUUAUACUUGUUGGUCAUAGCAUGGGUGGUUCAGUGGCUGUACAUGUGGCUGCAAGAAGAGCAAUUCGUAAUCUUCAUGGUCUUGUUGUUGUUGAUGUGGUUGAGGGAACAGCAAUGGCUUCAUUGAUUCAUAUGCAGAAAAUCUUAUUAAAUCGAGCACAGCACUUCCCGAGCAUUGAAAAAGCAAUUGAAUGGAGUGUCAAAGGUGGGCCGCUACGGAACAUUGAUUCUGCGCGUAUUUCUAUUCCAUCUACCUUGAAGUAUGAUGAAUCAAAGGAAUGCUAUACAUACCGUACUCCUCUUGAGAAAACAGAGAAGUACUGGAAAGGAUGGUAUGAAGGUCUUUCAGACAAGUUCUUAUCUUGUCCUGUACAAAAGAUACUAUUAUUAGCUGGCACCGAUAGAUUGGACAGAGCUUUAACAAUUGGUCAAAUGCAAGGGAAGUUUCAAAUGAUAGUAGUUCGACACACUGGACAUGCCAUACAGGAAGAUGUGCCUGAAGAAUUUGCAUCACACAUACUGAACUUCAUAUCUCGCAACAAAAUAGGGCCCAAUGGUGUUGAGAUACCUGGCCUCAUAAAAAAAUGGCAGCAAUAG
RNAcentral lists this ribosomal RNA (1035 nucleotides) under Triticum aestivum (bread wheat). Its description in RNAcentral is "partial small subunit ribosomal RNA". The record is from RNAcentral. Lineage: Eukaryota; Viridiplantae; Streptophyta; Magnoliopsida; Poales; Poaceae.